Molecule: long non-coding RNA, 800 nt
Filed under: Olea europaea subsp. europaea
Lineage: Eukaryota; Viridiplantae; Streptophyta; Magnoliopsida; Lamiales; Oleaceae
Source: RNAcentral
AUUUGAAUUCCAUGGAAAAAUGUAUCAAACACCUAAAGUUGGAAAUUCAAUUCCAAUUCCACCCUAUCAAACACACCCUACAAGAAAUUAGAGUUUUCCUGAUCAGAUUUUCCGACCAACCAAAAAUUAGUCAACGAAAAUACUUUUUUACCGACUACUAAGAAUUCUAGGUUGGUCAUAUAUUUUUCGUCCUUUUAUUUUUUUUACCGACACGAUUGAAAUGGGAUAUGAAAAUAGUCUUUGCCUGACCAGUUUUUCCCGAGCAACCAAAUAUUAGCUACUAUAAAUAAUAUUUAUCGACCAAAAGAUUUUUUAGUCAACAUAGACAAGAUGCAAUUGUCGACGAGAUAAAAUAUGGUUGGUGAAAAUCUUAUUUUUGGACCAAAUUUUGGCGGGGAUUAUUGCACCAAAAUAUUUACUGACCAAAAUAAUUAUAGUCGGCGUAGAUGAGAUGUAUUAGCCGACUAGAUGAAAAUAGUUGGUGAACAUAUUAUUUUUGGAGCAAAAUUUUAGUGGGCAUCAUGAUGGUACAAGAAUUGCUUAACAAAAUAAUUUUUAGUUGGCAUAGACAAGACAUAUUUUUCAACUAGAUGAAAGAAAGUGGUGAAUAAUUUUUUUUGGGAUAAAAUUUUGGUGGCAAAUGUCGCACCACAACAUUUAUUGACCAAAAUAAUUAUGAGUCGGCCUAGAUGGAUAUAUUUGCCAACGAGAUGAAAUGAGUCGAUGAAUAUCUUAUUUCUGGGUCAUAUAUAUCACAAUUAACUGGCUUUUUAAUACAUUAGCUAAGAUUUAAAAAAAAA